Molecule: ribosomal RNA, 527 nt
Filed under: uncultured bacterium
Lineage: Bacteria
Description: bacterial SSU rRNA
Rfam family: Bacterial small subunit ribosomal RNA
Source: RNAcentral
UGGGGAAUAUUGCACAAUGGGCGGAAGCCUGAUGCAGCGACCCCGCGUGGGGGAUGAAGGCCUUCGGAUUGUAAACUCCUUUCGACAGGGACGAAGCGUAAGUGACGGUACCUGUAUAAGAGGCACCGGCUAACUCCGUGCCAGCAGCCGCGNUAAUACGGAGGGUGCGAGCGUUAAUCGGAAUAACUGGGCGUAAAGGGCACGCAGGCGGACUUUUAAGUGAGGUGUGAAAUCCCCGGGCUUAACCUGGGANUUGCAUUUCAGACUGGGGGUCUAGAGUACUUUAGGGAGGGGUAGAAUUCCACGUGUAGCGUUGAAAUGCGUAGAGAUGUGGAGAAAUACCGAAGGCGAAGCCAGCCCCUUGGGAUUGUACUGACGCUCAUGUGCGAANGCUNGGGGGAGCAAACAGAAUUAGAUACCCUGUAAGUCAACGCUGUAAACGCUGUCGAUUUGNGGAUUGGGCCUUGAGCUUGGNGCCCGAAGCUAACGUGAUAAAUCGACCGCCUGGGNGUACGGCCGCAAGNUUA